Molecule: ribosomal RNA, 253 nt
Filed under: uncultured bacterium
Lineage: Bacteria
Description: partial 16S ribosomal RNA
Rfam family: Bacterial small subunit ribosomal RNA
Source: RNAcentral
UACGGAGGGAGCUAGCGUUGUUCGGAAUUACUGGGCGUAAAGCGCACGUAGGCGGCUUUGUAAGUUAGAGGUGAAAGCCCGGAGCUCAACUCCGGAAUUGCCUUUAAGACUGCAUCGCUUGAAUCCAGGAGAGGUGAGUGGAAUUCCGAGUGUAGAGGUGAAAUUCGUAGAUAUUCGGAAGAACACCAGUGGCGAAGGCGCCACUCUGGGCCGAAACUGACGCUGAGGAGCGAAAGCAUGGGUAGCAAACAGG